This is a long non-coding RNA of Rhipicephalus microplus (southern cattle tick), 624 nucleotides long. Lineage: Eukaryota; Metazoa; Arthropoda; Arachnida; Ixodida; Ixodidae. The record is from RefSeq and is a predicted model, not a curated record.
GUCUGGUUUUACUUCUUGCUCGAUUGAAUUGCAGGACAGCAGCUCAUUGAUGGUUGCCCCCCGAAAAGCGACUCUCUACUGGCCGAAACAUUUCUUGCAAAGUUCCGAACCACAAUUCAACGCACCGUGACAGGCUGCUCCCGCUCGUUGGUACAAGUCUUCAGAGCACCGAGACAGCAAUGUCAGAUGGCGUGGAAAUCGUAAAACAGGCUUCGGAAUCAAGGAGUCUACAUUUCUACGCAAACGGAGCAUUUUCAGUCGAUGCAUUAGAUAUUGAGAAGAACGCUACCGAAACGUGUGGCCCAGAUGAUCUUGAAUUACACCAUGCUACGACGCCUACCAAGAGCGUGCUUUCCAUUAUUCUCCAGAGCCGAUGGAUGAUGCCGUUGGUGUACACCCACAUUUGGUUGUCGGCGGCCUUCUCACUCAUGCAACCUUAUUUUCCACCUUUGGCUGACGCUGCUGGUCUGGAAGCUUGGAAGUACGGGUUUUUCUUUUCUGCCUUUAAAGUGGCAAUGUUGCUGGGAUCUGCGAUCAGCGAACGAAUUAUGGCCUUAGCAUCACCACGGAAGUGUUAUUUAUCCGGACAGAUUGGUUUCUUACUGUUCACUACUCUUUUAGGGU